GCGCCCUUAGCUCAGCUGGAUAGAGCAACGGUUUUCUAAACCGUGGGUCCCGUGUUCGAGUCGCGGAGGGCGCG
This 74-nucleotide transfer RNA is filed under the name alpha proteobacterium HIMB114. It matches the Rfam family "tRNA". Rfam says of the family: Transfer RNA (tRNA) molecules are approximately 80 nucleotides in length. Their secondary structure includes four short double-helical elements and three loops (D, anti-codon, and T loops). Lineage: Bacteria; Pseudomonadati; Pseudomonadota; Alphaproteobacteria; Candidatus Pelagibacterales; Candidatus Pelagibacteraceae. The record is from Rfam by way of RNAcentral.